Cygnus olor (mute swan) is the source of this 3005-nucleotide long non-coding RNA. RefSeq lists it as uncharacterized. Lineage: Eukaryota; Metazoa; Chordata; Aves; Anseriformes; Anatidae. The transcript has 2 exons. The record is from RefSeq and is a predicted model, not a curated record.
AUGUCUGCAGAGCAGGGGAGUUGCUACUACUGGUGUAUGCAGGGAGAAUGGAGAAGGAAGCAACCAGAAGAGCAGGACAAAGCUAGGUUUCCAGAGGAUAAUUCCUCUUCAGAGGCACAGGCAGCCAAGUGCACUUCCCUCUAUGCCAUCUGGCUCCUGUAGCCUGCUUCCAUCUGGCUGGGGUAGGAGAAAACCCCUGAGUGACUUGGAGCACCAAGCAGCUGUGGGCACGAGGAGCAAGACUGCAGAAGGUUCUCAGGAGAUGAGAUUAAAGAAAAGUUACCUGCUCAUGGUCUUCAGAGGUUAAGCUGUGAGACAACCAUUAUCCUUAGCCCAGAGCUAUCAUCUCCUAUGGGAUAUGGAAGCACAUCUGAUGGCCUGGAACUAUGACGUUUUCUUCUGUGAACCUUGUAAAACCAACCUACAACCUAAUAGGAAAGGGGUUGGAAGCCAUCAUUCCUUAUCUCCAGGUAGAUCCUUCAACUCCUCAUGGCUUUGAUUUGUCCAUAGGGGCAAGGGUUAUGCCUGGGUGGCACACAAAGAACCUGUUGUUGUUGUUGUUGUUGUUGGAGAUAUUGACCACAAAGAAUGACUUCUAGCAAGCUGGUAAAUUGUCAUCAAUAUUGCCAUGACACAAAGUACAUUCCGCUUAAAAAAUUAUUAUGUGCUCUCUAAUCUUUAUAAACAAAGUGAUUUGCCAUGCAAGAUUAUCUUAAGAGCAUUUUUAAAUUAGUACUUAUUCCUUAAAUGCAUUAUGUUUGUGGAAAGGCAUGACUAUGUGGUUUCACAGAUAAUAUCAUUCAUCCUAAGAAUGCAAAGAACUUUUAAAAGACCCAAACAAGUAAAUGGAAUGUAAAUAAAAGAGAAAAGCAAAAUAUUUGGACUUCUGAAAUUCCUCCAGGGUUGUUUUAUGUGUUUAAGAAUAGACUGUAUUUUUCCUGUAAAAUUUGCCUUGCAAAGAAAAAAAAGGAGAAUUUUCAAGGAUCUGAAGCUGCAUAAGACUUUGAGCAAAGAAAAUCAUAGUCUUAGAGACACUGCCUAUGGUUUUACAGUAACACACAGCCUAAAAAGACCCUUUCUUGGAACUUUCCCGCAAGAGAAGUCUUUCAUUACCAUAAUACGUCCAUGCCACCUAUCGAAGAAAAGGUCAAAUGUAAAUUCAGACCAUGGCAAAAGGUUAUUCAGGUAAAUCUCUACCUGAGUCCACUCAAAGUUCAAAUUUAUGACUCUGUUGAACAAAAGAUGAUGCAGGAUGUUUACAUAGCCAAUGACAUUUGUUUGCAGCACAUUCUAAAAAAAAAGUUACCCAAGUCGUCUUUUGUAGCAAGAUGUCAGAUGCAGAGGGAGGAGAAACUUGAGGUACCUCUGCACGGGUCCUUUGACCCAGAAGAGAUCUUUUGGGAGGAACAGUAAUGGAGAUGAGUCCUUCUGAAUUUCAUAUCUAUGUCUGUGUAAGCCCCAGUGAUGGAAGUAAGAAUGAUGGCUCCUCCCUAGAGAACCUGAGAGCAGCAUAUGAUGAUCAACAUUAUGUUCCUCAAAGAACUGUAGAAAAUUGGUAUUGUAAUCUAAUGAAAUGUAGAGGAUAUCUCCUGGAGGGGUAGAUUAUCAUAGAGAAUGUGUUCUUUUACUAUAAAUCUGUGAUUUUAUUUUACUGUUUUACUAAUGAUAUACAGUGAGCCAUAAGUGGGAAAGCCCCAAGAAACACAAUGACAGUUGUUUAUUAUAACAAUAUUUAUUAUAUUGCAUUAAUACAGGAAUGUUUUCACUGAGGACAGUAGAAAUUCUAUUGUAGGGCAGGAUUAAAGGAACCAUAUCAAUGCCAUGUGCUAUGGUAAAAGAGACGCCAUUAAUUUCUUCUUGCUUUUUCAAAAGCAGCCUCAAUUCAAACAGUUGGUUGAUCUCCUCAGUAGACAAAAAGACCUUGGAAUGUCCCCUCAGCAGUUUGUUCUAAAGGACCAGAAUACAACAUAAUAAAGCAUAAGUGGAAGUGAGACGUACUUUUUGAAAGACUGCUGGUAAGAAACCUUUCAGUGAUGCUAGUGGUGAGGGUUUGAUGCUGAAGGACAAAGAUUUCUUUCGGAGCUGCCUGGUGGCAUUGACCCACAACACCAUGUGGUGCUUCCCUUUGUCUUCCACUGUUAGUGAAUGAAUUGCUCCCAGGGAGGCUUGUUCAGUGCCAUACUCUGCAGAAAUGAGGAUGCUUUUGAAUGAUGGCUCACUCCAUUGUCCUUCAUAUUGUUUCACUAAGCUCAGCUCAGACUGAAAUUCCCAAGGCUAAUCCUUCUUGCUAGCAACUGGGGGUGAGAAAUGAAAUCUGUGAUGGAAAAGCUGCAAGGGAUGGGGCCAGCUUGGCCAGGCCAUCAACACUGCAGGUCAGCUCUUCCUUCCAGCACCUCCAGCCUGGCUCCAGUAGCUGUACCAUAGUGGAGGUCCUGCUGUUACAGCUUUCCUGUGGCUGAGGCACUGCCGUUUUCAGCCCUUCCAGCCCUCUCCAUCUGUCCACCUGCUCUUCCCCUUCCCUACAGACAGCACAGAGUCUGGAAUAAGAAUUGGUGAAGUGGAAGGGUAUUCAUCUUGCAGGAAAGGGAUGCUGUGUGGGCUGGUGUAAGCCUAUUCAUUGCCUUUGGAGGAAUGGCAGGACUGCAGAAAAAGGGGUGGCAUCAGAAGGCAGUGGAAGGAAGGAAUAGCACUGGCACGUUGAAGGAAGUAGUGGUGCUGGAAUGGAGUUAGUUAGCAAGUGCUGUUAAUAAUGACAGCCACCUGUUUCAUUAGCCAUGGUUUCAAACAGAAAGGAUGUGGUAUGCAAAUUACCAUGCAAAGCAGGUUGGCAAAGUCCAGAUAGGGACAGGGAUUUGCCAAAGGCUCUGAUAGCAGCUGAAGCAACAGAUGUGUUGCACCAAAGAGUGCCAGGGAGGGAACAGACAAGCAGCCAUGGCUGCACUUUCCCCCAGGCAAAGCAGAACAGUGAAAUUGCCAUUUGGCAAUAUUUCGGUCAGGUCUUUAUA